RNAcentral lists this ribosomal RNA (497 nucleotides) under uncultured bacterium. Its description in RNAcentral is "partial 16S ribosomal RNA". It matches the Rfam family "Bacterial small subunit ribosomal RNA", at positions 28 to 507 of the family's 1533-position model. The record is from RNAcentral.
GAUGAACGCUGGCGGCGUGCCUAAUACAUGCCAGUCGAGCGAACAGACGAGGAGCUUGCUCCUCUGACGUUAGCGGCGGACGGGUGAGUAACACGUGGAUAACCUACCUAUAAGACUGGGAUAACUUCGGGAAACCGGAGCUAAUACCGGAUAAUAUAUUGAACCGCAUGGUUCAAUAGUGAAAGACGGUUUUGCUGUCACUUAUAGAUGGAUCCGCGCCGCAUUAGCUAGUUGGUAAGGUAACGGCUUACCAAGGCAACGAUGCGUAGCCGACCUGAGAGGGUGAUCGGCAACACUGGAACUGAGACACGGUCCAGACUCCUACGGGAGGCAGCAGUAGGGAAUCUUCCGCAAUGGGCGAAAGCCUGACGGAGCAACGCCGCGUGAGUGAUGAAGGUCUUCGGAUCGUAAAACUCUGUUAUUAGGGAAGAACAAAUGUGUAAGUAACUAUGCACGUCUUGACGGUACCUAAUCAGAAAGCCACGGCUAACUACGUG